RNAcentral lists this ribosomal RNA (359 nucleotides) under Pseudomonas sp. VA3(2011). RNAcentral describes it as "bacterial SSU rRNA". It matches the Rfam family "Bacterial small subunit ribosomal RNA", at positions 36 to 397 of the family's 1533-position model. The record is from RNAcentral. Lineage: Bacteria; Pseudomonadati; Pseudomonadota; Gammaproteobacteria; Pseudomonadales; Pseudomonadaceae.
CUGGCGGCAGGCCUAACACAUGCAAGUCGAGCGGAUGAGUGGAGCUUGCUCCAUGAUUCAGCGGCGGACGGGUGAGUAAUGCCUAGGAAUCUGCCUGGUAGUGGGGGACAACGUUUCGAAAGGAACGCUAAUACCGCAUACGUCCUACGGGAGAAAGCAGGGGACCUUCGGGCCUUGCGCUAUCAGAUGAGCCUAGGUCGGAUUAGCUAGUAGGUGAGGUAAWGGCUCACCUAGGCGACGAUCCGUAACUGGUCUGAGAGGAUGAUCAGUCACACUGGAACUGAGACACGGUCCAGACUCCUACGGGAGGCAGCAGUGGGGAAUAUUGGACAAUGGGCGAAAGCCUGAUCCAGCCAUGC